AAACGAUGAUUACUCACGAUGAGUGUCCACACAGAUUGAUACGGUUUAUAAAGUAAAGAGAAGAAGAGUUCCCAAACUCUUCAAUCCAGUGUCCCGUUCGUCUAGAGGCCUAGGACACCGCCCUUUCACGGCGGUAACAGGGGUUCGACUCCCCUACGGGAUACCAUUGGGUCGUUAGCUCAGUUGGUAGAGCAGUUGACUUUUAAUCAAUUGGUCGCAGGUUCGAAUCCUGCACGACCCACCAUUCCUUCCAUUAGGAAUUAAAACUCAAAAUAUGGGGCUAUAGCUCAGCUGGGAGAGCGCCUGCCUUGCACGCAGGAGGUCUGCGGUUCGAUCCCGCAUAGCUCCACCAUAUUUUGAAACAAUGGGCGAUUAGCUCAGUUGGGAGAGCACCUGCCUUACAAGCAGGGGGUCACUGGUUCGAGCCCGGUAUCGCCCACCAUCUUUAAGCGCAUUCGAUGAGUGCUUUUAAAAAUGGUUACUUCAUUAGAAGUGAUUAGCUCUUUAACAAUUUGGAAAGCUGACAAAACAACAAUUUAUUGUUGUUUGUAAAGUUCUCAAUGUUUGUCUUUAAGACAAACACCAAAAUAACACAUUCAAGUGUUCUUGGAAUUUGAGUCCGGCAAAAUCGAGUCUGCAUCAUGUAUAAAAAUUGCAGACAACUUUGGUGACUUGUUCAUCAACUCGAAACUCCUUCGGGUUGUAU
RNAcentral lists this transfer RNA (706 nucleotides) under Vibrio parahaemolyticus. The stretch from base 169 to 241 matches the Rfam family "tRNA". Lineage: Bacteria; Pseudomonadati; Pseudomonadota; Gammaproteobacteria; Vibrionales; Vibrionaceae. The record is from RNAcentral.